RNAcentral lists this long non-coding RNA (229 nucleotides) under Medicago truncatula (barrel medic). RNAcentral's name for it is "long non-coding RNA (MTRU_LNC002285)". Lineage: Eukaryota; Viridiplantae; Streptophyta; Magnoliopsida; Fabales; Fabaceae. The record is from RNAcentral.
UCUAAUUAAAAUUCGAUUUAUUUUGGUCCUUUAACUUCUUUCUGUUACACAUUUUGGUCCUUUCUGUUAGUUUUAAUUCAAAAACGUUAUGUUUUCUUCAUCUUCUUUUCCUCUUUUUCAUUUUCAUAUGAUCUCCAUCAACCUUCAACAACAAGAAUCCCAUAAAAAUUUCAGAAGAAAAUGAAGAAAACCUAACGUUUUUGAAUUAAAACUAACGAAAAUGACCAAA